This 277-nucleotide ribosomal RNA is filed under the name uncultured bacterium. Its description in RNAcentral is "partial 16S ribosomal RNA". The record is from RNAcentral.
CUGCUGCCUUCCGUAGGAGUCUGGUCCGUGUCUCAGUACCAGUGUGGGGGGCCUUCCUCUCAGAACCCCUACGCAUCGUCGCCUCGGUGGGCCGUUACCCCGCCGACUAGCUAAUGCGCCGCAUGCCCAUCCGUGGCCGGGAUUGCUCCCUUUGGCGGCCUUGGGAUGCCCCAAGGCCGCGUUACGCGGUAUUAGACGGGGUUUCCCCCGCUUAUCCCCCUGCCACGGGCAGGUUGCAUACGUGUUACUCACCCGUGCGCCGGUCGCCGGCAACCGG